Populus euphratica (Euphrates poplar) is the source of this 450-nucleotide long non-coding RNA. RefSeq lists it as uncharacterized. The transcript has 3 exons. Lineage: Eukaryota; Viridiplantae; Streptophyta; Magnoliopsida; Malpighiales; Salicaceae. The record is from RefSeq and is a predicted model, not a curated record.
AUCAACACCACCACCUUACAUUCUAUGUCAUCACCUCAGGUAAAGUUUGGAUAAUUACUUUAUGCACUUACAUCGUUCUUUUCUUUUCAUAGCGGAAUAAGUCACAUAAUAUAGAAUUAGUGUUGUAUAAUACCUCUUUGUUUGUUCAGCUUAUGCGAGAUGUUCUUUACGAUGCCCCACAUUAUAUUGAAUAUGUGAUGUUUUUUAAUAUAGGAUUGAAUCCAUGAUUUUAUGAGGAAUUCUUAAUUUCAAAUAUGUAGUUGGAUGGUAGUGGAUCUUCUGUUACUUGCAUAGGCUGAUUUUUAAGCAUUCUUUGAUUUUGUUUUUAUGACCUUUCAGAUUCGUUUUUCUUGCUUUGAUUAUUUACUCUCUUUACCAUGCCUUUUCAGCCUAUUUAGCUUCUCUUUUCUAGUGCCUUUGCUUUGAUAUUUUUUUUUAUCACAUCUUGUU